ACUCCUACGGGAGGCAGCAGUGGGGAAUUUUGGACAAUGGGCGCAAGCCUGAUCCAGCCAUGCCGCGUGCGGGAAGAAGGCCUUCGGGUUGUAAACCGCUUUUGUCAGGGAAGAAAUCUUCUGAGUUAAUACCUCGGGAGGAUGACGGUACCUGAAGAAUAAGCACCGGCUAACUACGUGCCAGCAGCCGCGGUAAU
This 197-nucleotide ribosomal RNA is filed under the name uncultured bacterium. Its description in RNAcentral is "partial 16S ribosomal RNA". It matches the Rfam family "Bacterial small subunit ribosomal RNA", at positions 335 to 524 of the family's 1533-position model. The record is from RNAcentral.